CUUCCUUUGGUCUCCAACAUAUUUCAUCUUUCUUCAAGCUGAUAUCAACAACAGUAUUCCCAAUUGAUGAAGGAUGCUGCCAGGUUUCUUCUGUACCAAGCUCACGGCAGAAAGUAAUCAGCUCACCUUGGGAGCACUGUGGUCCAGCUGCUUCCGGGAAGGAAGAUGACACUUCUCAUGGCUCCUCUGCACCAAGCUGCCUCCUCUCUAAUGAACAGGACUGGUGCUGUU
Molecule: long non-coding RNA, 231 nt
Organism: Perognathus longimembris pacificus (Pacific pocket mouse)
Lineage: Eukaryota; Metazoa; Chordata; Mammalia; Rodentia; Heteromyidae
Exons: 3
Source: RefSeq, a predicted model, not a curated record